CAAAUACUAGUAUGUGGGAACGUUUCGAAAGGAACGCUAAUACCGCAUACGUCCUACGGGAGAAAGUGGGGGAUCUUCGGACCUCACGCUAUCAGAUGAGCCUAGGUCGGAUUAGCUAGUUGGUGAGGUAAAGGCUCACCAAGGCGACGAUCCGUAACUGGUCUGAGAGGAUGAUCAGUCACACUGGAACUGAGACACGGUCCAGACUCCUACGGGAGGCAGCAGUGGGGAAUAUUGGACAAUGGGCGAAAGCCUGAUCCAGCCAUGCCGCGUGUGUGAAGAAGGUCUUCGGAUUGUAAAGCACUUUAAGUUGGGAGGAAGGGCAGUAAGUUAAUACCUUGCUGUUUUGACGUUACCAACAGAAUAAGCACCGGCUAACUUCGUGCCAGCAGCCGCGGUAAUACGAAGGGUGCAAGCGUUAAUCGGAAUUACUGGGCGUAAAGCGCGCGUAGGUGGUUCGUUAAGUUGGAUGUGAAAGCCCCGGGCUCAACCUGGGAACUGCAUCCAAAACUGGCGAGCUAGAGUAUGGCAGAGGGUGGUGGAAUUUCCUGUGUAGCGGUGAAAUGCGUAGAUAUAGGAAGGAACACCAGUAAG
RNAcentral lists this ribosomal RNA (594 nucleotides) under Stutzerimonas stutzeri. RNAcentral describes it as "bacterial SSU rRNA". It matches the Rfam family "Bacterial small subunit ribosomal RNA", at positions 126 to 716 of the family's 1533-position model. The record is from RNAcentral. Lineage: Bacteria; Pseudomonadati; Pseudomonadota; Gammaproteobacteria; Pseudomonadales; Pseudomonadaceae.